Lycium barbarum (goji berry) is the source of this 810-nucleotide long non-coding RNA. RefSeq lists it as uncharacterized. NCBI's taxonomy places the organism in Eukaryota, Viridiplantae, Streptophyta, Magnoliopsida, Solanales, Solanaceae. The transcript is spliced from 6 exons. The record is from RefSeq and is a predicted model, not a curated record.
GUGCAAGAACGUAAGCGAGUUGUCAAGUGCCGCACGUGCGCUUAGUUGAAGACUAAGGACGUGACUCUAUUCUUGAUUUUACGUUGUAUUGCUCAAGUUCAGAGUAUCUCAACUUUGUGGUGGGUUCUCUCUUCUUCACUUUUUCAAAGUGCCAUCUAUCUAUUUUGUUUUGGGGAUAAGCAAGGCGUAGUAACAUGUACCUAGAGCAAAAACAUUACAACUUCAGAUAGGUUUAUGGACAGUUAGAUGGGAUUGAAGUGCUUCUUCGGAGAUUUUACUGUGAUAGACGAUCUGCAAUUUACAUCCUGGUGGUGUUAAAGUGUCUUCAGUGAUCAGAAUUGUUUUUGAUAUGGCGUUUUCCUCGGGCCCUACAACAGAGCUCUCAUCAGGAAUCUAAGAGGUUUUUGGAAGUGAAAGUUGUUUGAGAUGGGAAGAACAGUGCAUUGCCUCGACUGUAAGAGAGAAUUAUUUGAAAGGAGAUAGAAGAAAUUUAAAUCGUAACCAGAUUAUUGCUGCAUCAAGUGAUCGAGUCAAAAGGAAAAUACAAGCUUCGUGUAAUAUUCCUCCUUUUUAUCUUUCAGGUUCUAAUACCUUUCUCAAGGAGUCUAUCUCAUGGAAGAUGAGAUUAUUUGCUUCCCUUGAUGGCUGGUCAAGUAACAAUAAUGUUCUGAAGAUGCCCGAUAAUUGGCUACUCUUUGGUCUAGAACCUUUCUAGUAGUGUUACCAUAAAUUUACUCUCUUUAAGAAGAGAUGUGAAAACUGCUUUUGGUGGAAACACACUUAAUUGAUGGAAAUAUUGAUUUUUUUACU